GUCGGGAUAGGUCAGCUGGUAGACCAGAGGAUUGAAAAUCCUUGUGUCACCAGUUCAAAUCAGGUUCCUGGCA
Molecule: transfer RNA, 73 nt
Filed under: Malus domestica (apple)
Lineage: Eukaryota; Viridiplantae; Streptophyta; Magnoliopsida; Rosales; Rosaceae
Description: tRNA MD04G0096300
Rfam family: tRNA
About the family: Transfer RNA (tRNA) molecules are approximately 80 nucleotides in length. Their secondary structure includes four short double-helical elements and three loops (D, anti-codon, and T loops).
Source: Rfam by way of RNAcentral